GGUCGUGUGGCCCAAUGGCAAGGCGCUUGACUACGAAUCAAGAGAUUCCAGGUUCGAGUGAGUCAAUACA
Molecule: transfer RNA, 70 nt
Filed under: Friedmanniomyces endolithicus
Lineage: Eukaryota; Fungi; Ascomycota; Dothideomycetes; Mycosphaerellales; Teratosphaeriaceae
Description: tRNA-Arg
Source: RNAcentral